AUGAACGCUGGCGGCGUGCCUAAUACAUGCAAGUCGCGCGAACAGACGAGGAGCUUGCUCCUCUGACGUUAGCGGCGGACGGGUGAGUAACACGUGGAUAACCUACCUAUAAGACUGGGAUAACUUCGGGAAACCGGAGCUAAUACCGGAUAAUAUAUUGAACCGCAUGGUUCAAUAGUGAAAGACGGUUUUGCUGUCACUUAUAGAUGGAUCCGCGCCGCAUUAGCUAGUUGGUAAGGUAACGGCUUACCAAGGCAACCAUGCGUAGCCGACCUGAGAGGGUGAUCGGCCACACUGGAACUGAGACACGGUCCAGACUCUUACGGGAGGCAGCAGUAGGGAAUCUUCCGCAAUGGGCGAAAGCCUGACGGAGCAACGCCGCGUGAGUGAUGAAGGUCUUCGGAUCGUAAAACUCUGUUAUUAGGGAAGAACAAAUGUGUAAGUAACUAUGCACGUCUUGACGGUACCUAAUCAGAAAGCCACGGCUAACUACGUG
RNAcentral lists this ribosomal RNA (496 nucleotides) under uncultured bacterium. RNAcentral's name for it is "partial 16S ribosomal RNA". It matches the Rfam family "Bacterial small subunit ribosomal RNA", at positions 29 to 507 of the family's 1533-position model. The record is from RNAcentral.